RNAcentral lists this long non-coding RNA (2917 nucleotides) under Phaseolus vulgaris (common bean). RNAcentral describes it as "long non-coding RNA (PVUL_LNC001441)". Lineage: Eukaryota; Viridiplantae; Streptophyta; Magnoliopsida; Fabales; Fabaceae. The record is from RNAcentral.
CUCUCUCUCUCUCUCUCUCUCUCUCACACACACACACUAUUGUGUCUUUUUAUUCGUUUAAUUAGUGUUGGGAAUUCACGUGCCCCAGUUGUUUGAUCCUUUGACCUUGCAGCUUGAGAUACUAAAGUUGCAAUCUUUGAAGAUGGGGUUUGGGAGUUUUGAUUUUGGGUCAACUUAAAGGGGUGUUGAUUUCAUAGGGUCGUAUGAUUUGACUUGCUGGGUUGGCUAUUUAUUGUUGUUGUGAAUGUUGUGUUGUUCGUAGUGUGGUUGGUUGCUUUGGAAAUGAUAGAAACGAUGAGGGAAAUCGAAGAUUUGAAGAUGUGGUUGUUGUUAAAACAUAGGAAGGGGAUUGGUGUAACUGGACUUCGGGGUAGUUUAGAUGGAUUGAUUCUCUUCCUCCUUUAUCCUAUAUCACGUGCCAAACAUGGCGUAAUUGAGUUAAGCCUUUUUGUUUUGACAACAUGAAUCUUAAUCCUGAUUAAUGGAGAAACUUGGAUUUGAUGUUUUCCAUAUUUUUACCUAGAUAAACCUGAUGGUUGUUGUUUUGGGUGAAUUCUAACUGCUAAGUACCCUGGAGACCUGGUCAAUAUGCAGAAGUUUGUCUUGUUUUUUUUUUUAUUCUCGCAAAUAAACCCUCUCUUCUCUUGGCUUUGAACUUGAAAAUAAUUCUUUUCAAAUCCUAUUCUAUUGAAGCUAUCUAAAGUUAGAGGUAGAGUAUUCGUGCAGUCGUUCUAAUUUAUUCGUCAUAUUUGUUGGUAUGCCGAAGAACAACAGAUUCAUAGAAAAUAGUGGUUUAGUGAUUCUAUAUAACAAAAUGUGUAAAUUUCCCUACCAUAGAGUUUCAAAAAUACCUCUUAAACCUUGCAAGAUGUGAUCUAAAGUAGUCACAUUUGGAAGCACUAAUACAAUAAGUAUGGAAUUUUAUUCUUUUCUGCUGAGCUGCCCUCACCAAAUAUCUUCUUAUUAUCACUUACCCUAUUUAUUUCCAAGGGUGACAGUUUAGGAGAUGUCUUCUUGUUUAUGAAGAACACAAUUGUAUUGUUUGAUAGCUGACGCCACUUAGUGGAAAAAAACCUUUUGUUGUUGAGGAGGAUUAGAUGGUCAAUUAGUGGCUGCUUGAGUGCUUUGAAAAGGUUAUUGAAUUGAGAUUCCAAUUUUGAAUUGCCAACUAUAUUUUCUAUCAUUAAAUUCAGGUACAAUGAAAAAUUACUUCAAAUAUAUACAGAUGAUAUAUAAUAUUCAAUGUAAAUAAUUUAAAGUAGAGAUAGAUAAAACAACUUAAGCAGAAGUCAUACAAAAAAAACUAUUAGUUAUAUCUAAGUUUGUGAAGUCUUUAUUUUAGAAGAAUGAAUACAAAACAAUUGAAUAGCUAAAUGAACUACAUGUAUUGAAUGAUUUUGUGACAAAGAAAGGUGAAAUAAUCAAAUAGGAUAUGUUCACAAGUGUUCUUUCAAAUUCCUAUUCAAUACACAUUUAAUCUCAUUUUCUUUUCAUGGGAAUUGGUGAAAAGAUAGAAACAUACAAAUCAUUGAAUUGUAUAGUUGAUACAAAUUACAUAGGUUCAUUUAUGUAUCAUAAGAUACAAAAUCAUUUAAAUUUCUUUUGGUGAUACAAAUAGGUUAGACAACCAAUAUGUAUCAAACCAUAAGACUCAAAUAGUGAAUUGUAAUAUUCUGAUAACUAUGCUCUAAACAGUAUUUGUGAGAAUGGAUUUGUGGUUUGAGGAAAUUGAGGAAUAUUCAAGCAAGGAACAACUAGGACUUUGGUAGGGUGGAGAUUAACAAAUUUGUGUUUCUUAGUAUUCAUUAUGAGAACUAUAAAGCUUAACAACUUUGUUUUUAGAAUGUGUAUACAUAAAUUUUCAUUCUCAAUUUAGUUUUUUUUUUUCACGAUGAUUUUAUAUAAAUGAAUAUUUUCUAGUUUCCCAACUAAAUUAACAGAUCCUGAUCUGAUCUGAUAAAGUAGUUUUUUACAGAAUUGAGGGGCUGUUACUCUGUGUUUGUGAGGUGGUAGAACCUACUUCAUGAUUUUGUCCCCAUAUUUUACCUACCACUUGAGCUUUGAAGCUAUUGUAGUUGAAGAUUGUAUGCCCCAAUAGGUUAGAAUUGGACCUUUACAGGUUAUAUACAUACUAUAAUUUAACAUUCUCAGUAUACUAUUGUUUAGUUCCUUUCAUGGAGAUUGAGAGAAUGAAUGAAAAUGAAAAGAAAAAUGAUUUUAUUUAGUAGUAAAUUGAAAUCUGAUGAAAUUGUGUUUGCCUUGUGUUCUUCAAUUUUUAAAUACAAACGGUGUUACUAUUCGAUUUCAUGUUUGCAAGAAGGAUGAGUUUUCAAAUGCACAUUCAUUAUAGAAACUCAAACUAGACAGUAUCGCAUGAAUGAUGUCACUUAGAUAAGUGGAAGGUCUACUAAAUGUUCCAGCUAAUUGAUUAUCGCGCUUCUGUGAUCUUGAUGAAGUAUUUGUGGAGGUGCUAAAUUGUAAUUCUCAGAAAGAUUUUCAUAAUUUUUAAAAUUAUGAUAAUAACUUAGUUCUUACUGUUUUAAUAUUAGUAGCAUUUAGUUUAUGAGUUGGAGUGUUUAACAAGUUAAUCUGACACCUUUUUCUUUUAAAAACAAAAACUCUUUGCAAAAUAUUGCUGCAUCAAGUGAGAGCUCUGAACGCCAUCACCUCCAUAUUUAAUAUGACAAUAUCACUCUUUACAUCACCUACUCCUUUUCCUAAUUUAGUUGACAUGAACUGUGGUGUCAUUUUGUUAUAUAGCAGCAAUUAGUGUAGAAGAUGAGUACGUUGGAUGCAACAAGGGCUGAACUUGGUCUUCUUGUUUUAUAUUUGGGCAAGGCUGAAACAAGAGACAAAAUAUGCAGGGCAAUUCAGUAUGGUUCCAAAUUUGUGAGUAACGGGGAACCUGGUACUGCUC